GAUGAAGAACGUAGCGAAAUGCGAUAAGUAAUGUGAAUUGCAGAAUUCAGUGAAUCAUCGAGUCUUUGAACGCACAUUGCGCCCCCUGGUAUUCCGGGGGGCAUGCCUGUCCGAGCGUCAUUGCUGCCCUCAAGCACGGCUUGUGUGUUGGGCCUCCGUCCUCCUUCCGGGGGACGGGCCCGAAAGGCAGCGGCGGCACCGCGUCCGGUCCUCGAGCGUAUGGGGCUUCGUCACCCGCUCUUGUAGGCCCGGCCGGCGCUUGCCGACACAUCAAUCUUUUUUCCAGGUUGACCUCGGAUCAGGUAGGGAUACCCGCUGAACUUAAGCAUAUCAAUAAGCGGAGGA
Molecule: unclassified non-coding RNA, 345 nt
Filed under: soil metagenome
Description: partial contains 5.8S ribosomal RNA, internal transcribed spacer 2, and large subunit ribosomal RNA
Rfam family: 5.8S ribosomal RNA (bases 1-120)
Source: RNAcentral